Molecule: ribosomal RNA, 552 nt
Filed under: uncultured archaeon
Lineage: Archaea
Description: bacterial SSU rRNA
Rfam family: Archaeal small subunit ribosomal RNA
Source: RNAcentral
CGGGGUGCACCAGGCGCGAAACCUUCGCAAUGCGCGAAAGCGUGACGAGGCUACCCGGAGUGCUUCCUGAAGAAGGAAGCUGUUGCGAGUGUCUAACGAGCCUCGCGAGUAAGGAGAGGGCAAGGCUGGUGCCAGCCGCCGCGGUAAAACCAGCUCUUCAAGUUGUCGGGACGAUUACUGGGCUUAAAGAGUCCGUAGCCGGUUUAGCAAGUCCUUGGUAAAAUCUGGCAGCCUAACUGUCAGUACGCUAGGGAAACUACUUUACUAGAGGGCGGGAAAGGUCUGGGGUACUUCAGGGGUAGGGGUGGAAUCCUAUAAUCCUUGGGGGACCACCAGUGGCGAAAGCGCCAGACUGGAACGCGCCUGACGGUGAGGGACGAAAGCCAGGGGAGCAAACCGGAUUAGAUACCCGGGUAGUCCUGGCCGUAAACGAUGCGUGCGAGGUGUUGGUGAGGCCACGAGCCGCAUCAGUGCCGUAGGGAAACCGAUAAGCACGCCGCCUGGGGAGUACGGUCGCAAGGCUGAAACUUAAAGGAAUUGGCGGGGGAGCAC